This 407-nucleotide long non-coding RNA is filed under the name Callithrix jacchus (white-tufted-ear marmoset). RNAcentral's name for it is "lncRNA (ENSCJAG00000079043.1)". The record is from RNAcentral. Lineage: Eukaryota; Metazoa; Chordata; Mammalia; Primates; Cebidae.
GGUGAUCCUCCCACCUCAACCUCAGGAGUAGCUGGGACUACAGGCGGACAUCACCAUGCCUGGGCGCACACACACUGCAUCUGCUGACUUGUACAUCUCUAUUCUGACUGUUGGGAUCAGGUACCCAAGGCCAGGAGUACCUCCUAUAAGCCUCCUAUCAGCUGGAUUUCAUGGAGAGGGCUGUGUGAAGACAAGUGAUGCUGCCACAAGCCAACAAAUGUCUGGAGCUACUAGGAGCUGGGAAAACAGUGUCUCCUCUACAGACUUCGGAGGGUGCAGAGCCUGAUGAUACCUUGAUUUUCGACUUCCAUCAUCCAGAACUGUGAGUAAACACAUUUCUUUUGUUCUCAGCCACUUAGUUCUUGAUACUUGGUUGUGGCAACUCUAGGCAACUAAUACACUACUUC